Molecule: long non-coding RNA, 183 nt
Organism: Populus euphratica (Euphrates poplar)
Lineage: Eukaryota; Viridiplantae; Streptophyta; Magnoliopsida; Malpighiales; Salicaceae
Exons: 3
Source: RefSeq, a predicted model, not a curated record
UUAUUUAUUUAUUUACUUUUGAAAAAGCAUCAAAGAAAAAGAAAAAGAAAAAACAGCUCAAAGGUGACCUAUGUUAUACUAGCAACAUUACUAGAAAGGGGUUCUUUCUAAUCCAGUGAAGCUGAGGCAGCCUCUUUCAAACAUGCCCUCAUUAUCUUGUCCAGCUUUGAGCAAGCAUCCAAG